This 253-nucleotide ribosomal RNA is filed under the name uncultured bacterium. RNAcentral's name for it is "partial 16S ribosomal RNA". It matches the Rfam family "Bacterial small subunit ribosomal RNA", at positions 524 to 776 of the family's 1533-position model. The record is from RNAcentral.
UACGGAGGAUGCAAGCGUUAUCCGGAAUCAUUGGGUUUAAAGGGUCCGUAGGCGGUCUUGUAAGUCAGUGGUGAAAGCCCAUCGCUCAACGGUGGAACGGCCAUUGAUACUGCUGGACUUGAAUUAUUAGGAAGUAACUAGAAUAUGUAGUGUAGCGGUGAAAUGCUUAGAGAUUACAUGGAAUACCAAUUGCGAAGGCAGGUUACUACUAAUGGAUUGACGCUGAUGGACGAAAGCGUGGGUAGCAAACAGG